AUGUGGGUGUGUCCCCCCCAACCCAUGUGUGUCUUGUGCUGUCAUCAAGCAAGGGUUGGCUUUAGUGGCAGGAGAGCAUUCGCUCAUGAAAAACCCUCCAGUCUCUGUGGCAUUUUUCAACCGUCUUUAAACCUUCCCCACUCCCAUUAUUUUAUUUCAAACUGGCAGCAACCUGGUGAAGAGGCACCAGCCACUGAGAGGCAGAAGCUGGGGUGCACACGGCAGCCCACUGACCAGAGAACAUCCCCACCCAGCACAUGCGGGGUGCGGCCUUCUGUGGACCCCAGUGCGACAGCGAGAGUGACGCGGAUGACAAGGCGUCUGUGGGCUCCGAGAAGCUCUUUGCCCCGGCAGCUGAUAAAGGCCCCACACUGGGCGACAAGUCCGAGGCCAAGGCUGGGGCAGCACCCAAGGUCUCAGGCCUGGAGCGCAGCCGUGAGCUGAGCACCGAGCCGCCCUUCCUGCCCCCCGUGCACAGCCCGCGCCCGCCCUGCCCUCCCCUCCGCCGUCGGAGCCCCGUUGCCCCAGCCACCUCUGGU
Molecule: long non-coding RNA, 539 nt
Filed under: Camelus dromedarius (Arabian camel)
Lineage: Eukaryota; Metazoa; Chordata; Mammalia; Artiodactyla; Camelidae
Description: lncRNA (ENSCDRG00005015131.1)
Source: RNAcentral